This 73-nucleotide transfer RNA is filed under the name Prosthecobacter vanneervenii. It matches the Rfam family "tRNA". Rfam says of the family: Transfer RNA (tRNA) molecules are approximately 80 nucleotides in length. Their secondary structure includes four short double-helical elements and three loops (D, anti-codon, and T loops). The record is from Rfam by way of RNAcentral. RNAcentral also lists the same sequence under 9 other names. Lineage: Bacteria; Pseudomonadati; Verrucomicrobiota; Verrucomicrobiia; Verrucomicrobiales; Verrucomicrobiaceae.
GGCUCGGUAGCUCAGUCGGUAGAGCAGGGGAUUGAAAAUCCCCGUGUCGGCGGUUCGAUUCCGUCCCGAGCCA